Molecule: small nuclear RNA, 126 nt
Filed under: Cervus hanglu yarkandensis (Yarkand deer)
Lineage: Eukaryota; Metazoa; Chordata; Mammalia; Artiodactyla; Cervidae
Description: U2 spliceosomal RNA (ENSCHYG00000004418.1)
Rfam family: U2 spliceosomal RNA
About the family: U2 is a small nuclear RNA (snRNA) component of the spliceosome (involved in pre-mRNA splicing).
Source: Rfam by way of RNAcentral
AUCACUUUUCAACUAGCUAUGGAAAUAUGUGUCUUAAGAAGUUACAGGAGUUGGAAUAGGAGCUUGCUCCGUCCACUCCACGCAUCGACCUGGUAUUGAAGUACUUCCAGGAAUGGUGCACUCCCC